This 2087-nucleotide long non-coding RNA is filed under the name Eucalyptus grandis. Its description in RNAcentral is "long non-coding RNA (EGRA_LNC003977)". Lineage: Eukaryota; Viridiplantae; Streptophyta; Magnoliopsida; Myrtales; Myrtaceae. The record is from RNAcentral.
CAGGAAGCAAAAUCACCACAUAACACCUUCACAAUUCAACAGAAUUACAAACAGAGGUCUACGGCCAACAGUCUACAAAAGACCGGCCCUUAAAAAGGAAUUGUCCUACGACCUACAACUUGGACACGCUCUCCAAUCCUUAUGACUUCACAUCUGCAACUCCUCAAGGCCAACCAAAGCUAUCCGGCUGCUCCGUCCACCAGGGACCUGAAAUGGUUAUUCAAUAACCACUGAGACCACGUCUCAGCAAGUUCAACCCCCUAAACCCCUAUUAGAAAGAAAAUACGCCCUGGGUGGCCUAGCCACACAACAUAGAGGACUUACCUUGCCUCGGUUCUUUCCUGCAUGUUAGCGCAAUUCGAAUCACUCAAUCACAGAUAGUAAGAGGAACUUAAACAAUCGGAACGUAUUCACUUUCAUAUAUCCAACAACCGCGGGGGUCCUGAUUAUAAGACUAAAUCGUUAUGACACGUCCCAUUCCACGCCACACAAUUCCGUCCCAUAAUCCGACACAUCAACAACACUCAACAUGCAUUCCAAUUGAUAUUCACUGCCACACAAGGGCAUAGCCUACUCGCAGUCCGGCUAUCUACUGGCAUAUAACCAGGCAUCGCCUCCCCCCCAUGGAGCGCGGCUUCGUCAGUACGUCGACGGCAUUCCCGAAGGAGCAUCGUCUCCCCCCCCUUGGAGCACGGCUUCGUCUCUACGUCGACGGCAUUCCCGAAGGAGCAUCGAUCCAGUCGGCCCAGCCUCUACUGCGAUCGGCACCACGUCACUCUCUUGACGGCAUUUCUAGAAGAACAAAGGUCCAGUCGGCCUAGCCACUACUGCGACCCGAGCCACGUCACUCUCCUGACGGCAUUUAUAUAAGAACAAAGGUCCAGUCGGCCUAGCCACUACUGCGACCCGAGCCUUUCAACUAGCACAAGACAAUUCGAUACCAAUCCUUUGAUACUUUACAUUCCGCUCACAUAAUCCAAUUACGAUAUUAACCAUUAACAAUCCCAUUUCAAUGCCGAACUCGACACUUGGGAUUUUCUAAAUAAAAUCCAUCCUUUUCACAAUCAACAGUCAAUUUACAUUAUCCAAUCAUCAAAUUCAAAUUCUAAAUGCACAGCAGCGAUCAGCACGAAAUUCUGAGAAUUUAGAGUCCCAAAUUAAUUUUUCGGAUUAUUAAAUAAUUAAAUUUAUUCCGAAAAUUAAUUAAAUAACAAUAUUCAUAUUUUUCACAAUCCACAUUCAAUUUAUAAUAUCCGACUAUCAAUUUCAAAAUCCGAAUACACAGCAGCGACCGGCACGAAAUUCUGAGAAUUUAGGGUCCCGACAAAAUUUUCGGAAUUUAAUAAAUAAUUAAAUUUAUUCCGAAAAUAAUUAAAUAAUAAUAUUUUAUUAAUUUCAAAUAAAAUAUAUUAUUAAUUCAUAUAAUAAUUUCGAAACAUUUAAAUAAAUCAAAAGUAAAUUCAUUUAAGUCAAAUCAAGGCUUAUUUUAAAUAAACCUACUUACCCUUAAUUAAGCACACCUUAAAUUAAAACAACACCAUAAUCUAAUCCACUCUUAAAUAACAUAAACUAACAACCUAAAAAUACUUAACAUAAACUAAACCUCCCUAAGCAUAAUUAACCCUCUAAGCGAGGUUUAGUGAGCUAAACUCACCGGAUUAACGAGCCGAGCGGACCAAAACGACGGGGGCGACGAGGAGAACAACUUUCCUCAAAGCGGGCCGAGCAUUCGAGCUCGGGAAGGCGGCCAAAACGGGCCAAACGUCCGCUGCACACCCAUUUUCGCAGCUACUGAUUUGGGGCUGGAGGAGGCGGAUCCGGCGCCGGUUGAGGCGCACAAGGGCCGAGAUGGGCCGAGGGACUUCCGGCGAGCUGAGGCGGGGGCGCACGGCGGCUCACGGCGGCGGGGACGAGCUCCGGCAGCUCCCGGAACCCACGAACCGAGACUGAGACGCAGCUGGGCGUCGGCCAAGCGCGGGCGAGCGCGGGCAACGGCGGAGCGCGAGACGGUGAGCGGCGACGGGCGGAGGCGUGCGGCUACUUCGACGGUGCUGCUUCGGCGUCCAUCCCAGAUCUGGGAUCUCGAG